AUCAGCUGUACUCUGAGGAAACCCAUCUCCUCCCCAUACCGCACCUCUGUCAUACGACGAUUUUGGAACACACUGCAGAGUAUAAACCAGACGAAUCAGAUGCUGGUCUACUUGCAGUCCUUUAACUCUCUCCCAGAGAAUUACACCAUACCUGAGAGCACCAAGAACGGAGUUCCUCUCUUCUACAUCCCCCCCUGGAUCCACCAUGCCGGUUCUCUCCCUACAGCACAGUUGCUCUAAAGACUCCUCCCAGUCCCAGUUUGCCUCAUACUGGAAGCCCAUCCUGUCCAAGGAUGCAAACCUCUGGCAGAGAUGUCUUCACAUACACCGCAUCACCAUCAUCCUGGAGCACGACAUGUGAGAGAUGCCUUGAGAGAUUGUACCUUUUUUGUUGUUGUCAAUUUAUCAAUAUCAUCCUUGGGAGCAGCCUUUACAGUCCUCUCCCAGUCAAUAGUAGAGAGAGAGAGAACUGUGGACCUUCUCUUGUUCCGCUACUGACUGUUUCAGGUCUACGCACCAACUAUUGUACAGUUGUUCCUCCUUUAAAAGUUGCGAGCUUACGCUGCGGGACUUAGAGGUAAUUUGUGGUUUAGUACGGUACCCUGCGUCACCACUUCAUUGCUCCAGUCCAGCGCAAGGGGGAGUUAGAGCACUGAUUAUGCUUUUGGGUCCUAAUGUGUCUCUAGGAAUCUACUAUUUUUAUGUCUCUGCGACCAGUAUGACAGAAGUUAUAUAUUUUUGUAUUCUAAUUUAUAUAAUUAUUUCAAACAGUAACAUGCAAAAUACAAAAAACAGAACAGCCAGAGGGAGUAUACAAAGAAAUAAUGAAGAGAAAAAAAAUCCACAUUAUAUCAAAUGAAAAAGACAUGUUUGUAACGAAUACAUUGAGACAUUUUGUUUAGCAUACAUUUUAAUGAUUUAAAUAGUUUUCCAAAUAUGUUUUUCUUUAUUCAA
Oncorhynchus tshawytscha (Chinook salmon) is the source of this 954-nucleotide long non-coding RNA. RefSeq lists it as uncharacterized. Lineage: Eukaryota; Metazoa; Chordata; Actinopteri; Salmoniformes; Salmonidae. The record is from RefSeq and is a predicted model, not a curated record. The transcript has 3 exons.